Amphiprion ocellaris (clown anemonefish) is the source of this 2380-nucleotide long non-coding RNA. The record is from Ensembl. NCBI's taxonomy places the organism in Eukaryota, Metazoa, Chordata, Actinopteri, Pomacentridae.
UUUUGGUUUACAAUUUAUUUGACAAGACAAUGAUCUGUAAAACAUUUACAAUAGAAUUCCCAAAAAGCAUACAAAAUGACAGUUGAUCUGUGAUACACAAAAGAAAGGAAAGAAAAUCAAUAAGACACUCACAGAAAAUAUGAUUACAUCUCCAGUGUGUGUGUGUGUUGUUCUGUUGUAUCACUGCCGUUAUCAAUGUCAAACACAUCCUGUGUUUGUGUAUUUCCCCGUUUCAUCAUCUGUUCUACUGUCAGAGAAGAAAUGUGAGAAUUGAAAAGCUAAAAAUAACAUAAAGAAGGCACGUCUGGCUCCGUGAUGAGAAGCUGUGAUGACAAUGGAUGAACGAGAGAGAUCGGAGAAAAGGAUAAAACAGAAAAAAGGAGUGUGAGUGAGGGAGAGGACUCAGACCCAACAACCGACAUUCACAGCUUGUGGUUUCUGGCAUUGAACCCGUUGGAACAAAGGCGGAGCAAAAGCACCUUGACCGAAAUGCAACUCCUCCUAGAAGGGGCGAAUCCAGAGCCUUUAUCUAACAGAUAAUCCAUCAGAAAACAGUGCAGCUCCACCAUCCCUCCAUCCAGGAACUGCCAACCCAUUUGCUCGGGCAGCCUGCAAACUGAUUUACAGAUAUUUCUCUACAGAUUCCAAUUUAGGAGUCGGCCUCAUGACUAUUUCUGGAAAUGUUAAAAAUCCAAUUCAAGACACCUCCCAAUGCAGUGACUCUAUUAAAGGCUCUGGGUAAAACACAAUGAUCCCCAAAAUGAGACGGCAGAGACGAAACUCAUAACUAAAUGCUUGCUGAGUCACUGGUCUCUGAUAUAAUGGGCCCCAAUGAUUGUCUUUUUUUCCUUUUGCUCAGUCCAUCAAGAAGAGCCUGCUGGCAAACACAUUAAACACAUGAAUCCACAAGAAACUCAACAUUCAUUCAUUGUGGGGAAUUAAUUUACAGACAAAGAAAAAAGCAGAGAAACCAUUACAUUAAAGUCCCAUUGAUGACAGUUUUUGUUCUGUGGCUGGGUUAUAAAAUACAUCAUAUAUGAUUGUCUGACACUGCACCGUAUAAGCCAGUCAAAAGGCCACGUUCUUGGUAAUGUGGCACGACUUUUCUUGCAGAAUAUGGAAAUAGCUUUUCCCCCCAAAGGCCCAUGCAGCAUGCAGACAUUCCCUUUAAUGACCGUAAACAUCUUAGAGACAGAAAUCAGAUACACAAUAGAAACUUUUAGCUAUUGUAGAAGUCCCUAUUCAUCCUGCAGCAAAUAUCAUCGCUAAACAAUCAACUAAUUUCCAACUUAUGUUACCUUUUGAUCAUCAGAAACCGCAUUUUUAAUAUUUGAAUUCCUCUUUAAGGACAAAUGAUGGCGUAGCAGUGCGUUAGCUAGCAUGCAGCAAGCAGUGGGACUUCUAUAAUGACUAUAAAAGCAGCACAUGAACAAAACAAAGUCACGAUGCCUAUAAAAAGUGGACGUUUUCCCAUUCCACUGCUUUUCAACAUUGGAUCAUAGUCAAUUUAAUUUGACUUUCUUGAGAAGAACUUGCAAAAAAGACUCUUUCAUACCAAAGUGAAAACAGAUUUCUACAAAGUAAUGUCAACAUAAAAUGUAAAAUAAGUGAUUCUAUAAGUAUUCACUUCUUAAAGUCAGUAUUUAGUAGAUAUACCUGCAUCUGAAAGGUCCAGCCACUGACUACAUCAUGAAGACAAAAGAGCACUCCAAGCAAUUUUGUGGAGGUUAUUGUAAGCAUGGAAAGGGUAGAUAUAAGAAAAUGCCCAAGUCACUGAAUAUGCCUUUGAGUACAGUUGAAUACAUUUUUAAGGAAGGGAAAGAAUAUGGCACAUGUGGCAGCCUGCCGAGAGCAGCAAGAAAGCGUGAGGGGGGCCACCAAGACACCUAUGACUCCUCUGGAGUCAACUGGAAGACGGUUCUUUGGUCUGAUGUAACCAAAAUGGAGCUUUUUAGCCAUGAGUCCAGAUGCUGUAUUUGGCAGACACCAAACACUACACAUCAUCACAAACACAUCAUCACCACUGUGAAGCGUGGUGGUGUUAGCAUCAUGAUGUGAAGCAUAUUAGUGUUAGCAUCAUGAUGUGAAGCAUGGUGGUGGCAGCAUCAUGAUGUGAAGCAUGGUGGUGGCAGCAUCAUGAUGUGAAGCAUGGUGGUGGCAGCAUCAUGAUGUGAAGCAUGGUGGUGGCAGCAUCAUGAUGUGAAGCACGGUGGUGGCAGCAUCAUGAUGUGAAGCACGGUGGUGGCAGCAUCAUGAUGUGAAGCACGGUGGUGGCAGCAUCAUGAUGUGAAGCAUGGUGGUGGCAGCAUCAUGAUGUGAAGCAUGGUGGUGGCAGCAUCAUGAUGUGAAGCACGGUGGUGGCAGCAUCAUGAUGUGAAGC